AUGGCACGACGGAAGCCGCCGGCGCAGCAUGGAGCCCGGAGCGAGGACGGCCAAGCCCAGUCGACGGCGCCGCCGCUGAAGCGGGGGCCGUGGACGGCGGAGGAGGACGAGGUGCUGGCGCGGUUCGUGGCGCGGGAGGGGGAGGGGCGGUGGCGCACGCUGCCGCGGCGGGCGGGCCUGCUGCGCUGCGGCAAGAGCUGCCGCCUGCGGUGGAUGAACUACCUCCGGCCGGACAUCAAGCGCGGCCCCAUCGCCGAGGACGAGGAGGACCUCAUCCUCCGCCUCCACCGCGUCCUCGGCAACCGGUGGUCGCUGAUCGCCGGGAGGCUGCCGGGGCGCACGGACAACGAGAUCAAGAACUACUGGAACUCGCACCUCAGCAAGAAGCUCGUCGCCCAGGGCCUCGACCCGCGGACGCACAUGCCGCUCGCCGCUGCUCCCGGCAAGACGGCAGCUCCUACCGACAAGACGACGGCGGCGCCGACGGUCAGACCGCCGCAACCUCUGCCCCCGCCAGCGCUUGUGCUGCCGACCUCGUCUGCCGCUGGAACUGGACGCGACGGCCGUGACAACCCAGGCGACGGAGGCAAUGACGACCUCGCCGCGGCGAUGAGCGUCGACGCCCAUGACUUCGAAGGUUUCGGUGAUCAGCUUCUCGCCGACUACGCUGCUUCCCGCGGAGUCUUCAACGACGUGAUGGGGUGUCCAAUGGUGGACGACGACACCUUCACCUCGUUCCUCGAUUCCUUGAUGAAUGAGCGCCAGUUGGCUGCUGAUCACAAGGUUGGCGCUAUCUAG
This 798-nucleotide ribosomal RNA is filed under the name Triticum aestivum (bread wheat). Its description in RNAcentral is "partial small subunit ribosomal RNA". Lineage: Eukaryota; Viridiplantae; Streptophyta; Magnoliopsida; Poales; Poaceae. The record is from RNAcentral.